UGAUGAAUCCCCUUGUGUCUCACCAUGGCAAUUCUCUUCCUCCCUCUCUUCUUCUUCUUCGUCUUUUUCAACUCCAUUCUCUACUCUCACUCUUCCAACAACAACAUCAUCAUUCUUCAACCAACUCACCGACACCACCACACUUCUUCUUCUUCUUCUUCUUCUUCUUCUUCUUCUUCUUCUUCUUCUUGUCCAGCUCCUAACCCCAACCUCUACUACCAACCUGUCAUCGGAAUCGUCACCCACCCCGGUGACGGUGCUUCCGGCCGCCUCUCCAACUCCUCCGCCGUCUCCAACAUCCCCGCAUCCUACGUCAAAUUCGUCGAAGCUGGUGGAGCCAGAGUUAUUCCCCUUGUCUACAACGAGUCUCCCCAAAAACUUCUCAAGAAGCUGGAUUUGGUAAACGGGGUGCUCUUCACAGGUGGAUGGGCCAAGGAUGGUCAAUACUUUGAAACUGUUAGGAGAAUCUUUAAGAAAGUGUUGGAGAGAAAUGAUGGUGGAGAACAUUUCCCAUUAUAUGCCAUCUGCUUAGGUUUUGAACUCAUAACAAUGAUUGUAAGCGGGGACAAUAAUAUUCUUGAAGAAUUUAGUGCUUCAGAUCAGGCAAGUGCUCUUCAUUUUGUGGAGAAUGCAGAUAUCGAGGGAAGUUUAUUUCAAAGUUUUCCUCCAGACUUGUUGAAGAAGUUGAGUACAGAUUGUAUUGUUAUGCAAAAUCAUCACUUUGGUAUAUCCCCAGAAAAGCUUUUGAACAACAAGUUGUUGUCCAGUUUUUUUGAUGUCUUGACAACAUGUAAGGAUGAAGAUGAUAAGGUAUAUGUUUCCACAAUGCAAUCUCGCAACUAUCCUGUCACUGCCUUUCAAUGGCAUCCAGAGAAAAAUGCCUUUGAAUGGGGCUCAGCAAAUAUCCCACACACAGAGGAUGCCAUUCGGGUAACUCAUUCUACAGCAAGCUUCUUGGUCAGAUAUAAAAUCACUCAUGUUUCGGAGAAAUGGUUCAUGACACUGAUGCACUUGUCAACAUCCAAGUUAAUAUAUCAUUUUCGUUUGUGGACAUGGCUCCAGUGAAGCUAGGAAAUCCUCAAAAAGACCAGAUGCUCAAGAAGUGAGAGACAAUCUUAUUUACAAUUACAGUCCUAGUUAUGUUGGAAAAGCUGGAAAAGGAUAUGAUGAAGUUUAUCUCUUCAGAUAGUAAAAAACUAAAAAUGGAGGAGUCAAUGGAUGCUAUUUUGGGCCCUAUGUAUUAUCAUCACUAUAUGUUUCAGAAAUAAUACUUUUGUGCACAAAGGAGGAGAAACGACUCAGCUAUCCUCAUUAGCAUGUUGUAUUACAUAAUAUCUUUUAAUAAUGAUACCCCCAACCUUUGAAUUCUUACGUUAGAUAAUAUUAUACAUGAUAUCACUCGAUUUAUCAUUACUAGAUUUAAGCUUUAAAAUAAUCUUUGAAGUUGUACUUAAGUCUCAAAGUGAUUUCUGAAACUAAUAGUUACCCAAAUUUGUCUUUGACAUUGUACUCCGAGUUUUAUAGUAGUCCUUAAGGCACUUUUUGUCCAUCACUUGUCAUAAAAAAAUUGAGUUGGACUGAUUUCUGUCACUAUGACACUAUAACGGCUCGCUGAUGUGGCAAAA
RNA transcript from Arachis stenosperma, 1625 nucleotides. It is a transcript of the gene named gamma-glutamyl hydrolase 2-like, with no coding region annotated. The transcript has 10 exons. The record is from RefSeq and is a predicted model, not a curated record. Lineage: Eukaryota; Viridiplantae; Streptophyta; Magnoliopsida; Fabales; Fabaceae.